UGAAUACGAGAUGCUACGGCGUCGAAGCAGUCUAUGUCAUACUUCCAAGAAAAGCUCGCACUGUCAUAAACAAAUAAUGCCUGUACCAUAACCGACACAGGUGGGUAGGUAGAGUAUACUAAGGGGCGCGAGAUAACUCUCUCUAAGGAACUCGGCAAAAUGACUCCGUAACUUCGGGAGAAGGAGUGCCUUAUUUAUAAGGUUGCAAUAACAAGAUCCAAACAACUGUUUAUCAAAAACACAGGUCUCCGCUAAGUCGUAAGACGAUGUAUGGGGGCUGACGCCUGCCCAGUGCCUGAAGGUUAAAGAAGUUGGUUAGCAUUCGCGAAGCUGAUAACUGAAGCCCUGGUGAACGGCGGCCGUAACAAUAACGGUCCUAAGGUAGCGAAAUUCCUUGUCGGGUAAGUUCCGACCCGCACGAAAGGCGUAAUGAUUUGGAUACUGUCUCGGAGAGGGGCUCGGUGAAAUAGACUUGUCUGUGAAGAUGCGGAUUACCUGCACCAGGACAGAAAGACCCUAUGAAGCUUUACUGUAACUUGAGAUUGAAAUUGGACUUUACUUGCGCAGUAUAGGUGGGAGGCGUUGAUAAUAUUCUUGCGGGAUUAUUUGAGCCAUCAGUGAGAUACCACUCUUGUAAUGUUAGAUUUCUAACUUUGUAUCAUUAUCUGGUCAAAGGACAGUUUCAGGCGGGCAGUUUGACUGGGGCGGUCGCCUCCUAAACGGUAACGGAGGCGCACAAAGGUUUCCUCUGAACGGGUAGAAAUCGUAUCUAGAGUGUAAAGGCAUAAGGAAGCUUGACUGUGAGACCUACAAGUCGAGCAGGGACGAAAGUCGGUCUUAGUGAUCUGACGGUGCUGAGUGGAAAGGCCGUCACUCAACGGAUAAAAGUUACUCUAGGAUAACAGGCUGAUCUCCCCCAAGAGUUCACAUCGACGGGGAGGUUUGGCACCUCGAUGUCGGCUCAUCGCAUCCUGGGGCGGUAGUACGUCCCAAGGGUUGGGCUGUUCGCCCAUGAAAGCGGUACGCGAGCUGGGUUCAGAACGUCGUGAGACAGUUCGGUCCAUAUCCGGUGUAGGCGUUAGAAUAUUGAGAGGAGCCUUCUUUAGUACGAGAGGACCGAGAAGGACAUACCUCUGGUGUACCAGUUAUCGUGCCAACGGUAAACGCUGGGUAGCUAUGUAUGGAGUGGAUAACCGCUGAAAGCAUCUAAGUGGGAAGCCCACCUCAAGAUAAGUAUUCUCGU
Molecule: ribosomal RNA, 1243 nt
Filed under: metagenome
Description: bacterial LSU rRNA
Rfam family: Bacterial large subunit ribosomal RNA
Source: RNAcentral